Molecule: transfer RNA, 72 nt
Filed under: Ptyctolaemus collicristatus
Lineage: Eukaryota; Metazoa; Chordata; Lepidosauria; Squamata; Agamidae
Description: tRNA-Gln
Source: RNAcentral
CUAGACAGAGAGGACUCGAACCUCCACAAAAGAAUUCAAAAUUCUUUGUACUCCCGACUAUACUACACUCUA